RNAcentral lists this ribosomal RNA (348 nucleotides) under bacterium enrichment culture clone ALO1_GLFRUDD03F0JJD. Its description in RNAcentral is "bacterial SSU rRNA". It matches the Rfam family "Bacterial small subunit ribosomal RNA", at positions 9 to 358 of the family's 1533-position model. The record is from RNAcentral.
GAGUUUGAUCCUGGCUCAGAUUGAACGCUGGCGGCAUGCCUUACACAUGCAAGUCGAACGGCAGCACGGGAGCUUGCUCCUGGUGGGCGAGUGGCGAACGGGUGAGUAAUGCAUCGGAACGUAUCCUGGAGUGGGGGAUAACGUAGCGAAAGUUACGCUAAUACCGCAUAUUCUGUGAGCAGGAAAGCGGGGGACCUUCGGGCCUCGCGCUCUUGGAGCGGCCGAUGUCGGAUUAGCUAGUUGUGAGGUAAAGGCUCACCAAGGCGACGAUCCGUAGCAGGUCUGAGAGGAUGAUCUGCCACACUGGAACUGAGACACGGUCAGACUCCUACGGGAGGCAGCAGUGGG